RNAcentral lists this ribosomal RNA (490 nucleotides) under Staphylococcus aureus. RNAcentral describes it as "bacterial SSU rRNA". It matches the Rfam family "Bacterial small subunit ribosomal RNA", at positions 1 to 473 of the family's 1533-position model. Lineage: Bacteria; Bacillati; Bacillota; Bacilli; Caryophanales; Staphylococcaceae. The record is from RNAcentral.
UUUAUGGAGAGUUUGAUCCUGGCUCAGGAUGAACGCUGGCGGCGUGCCUAAUACAUGCAAGUCGAGCGAACGGACGAGAAGCUUGCUUCUCUGAUGUUAGCGGCGGACGGGUGAGUAACACGUGGAUAACCUACCUAUAAGACUGGGAUAACUUCGGGAAACCGGAGCUAAUACCGGAUAAUAUUUUGAACCGCAUGGUUCAAAAGUAAAAGACGGUCUUGCUGUCACUUAUAGAUGGAUCCGCGCUGCAUUAGCUAGUUGGUAAGGUAACGGCUUACCAAGGCAACGAUGCAUAGCCGACCUGAGAGGGUGAUCGGCCACACUGGAACUGAGACACGGUCCAGACUCCUACGGGAGGCAGCAGUAGGGAAUCUUCCGCAAUGGGCGAAAGCCUGACGGAGCAACGCCGCGUGAGUGAUGAAGGUCUUCGGAUCGUAAAACUCUGUUAUUAGGGAAGAACAUAUGUGUAAGUAACUGUGCACAUCUUGAC